Molecule: ribosomal RNA, 279 nt
Filed under: uncultured bacterium
Lineage: Bacteria
Description: partial 16S ribosomal RNA
Rfam family: Bacterial small subunit ribosomal RNA
Source: RNAcentral
UGCCAGCAGCCGCGGUAAUACAGAGGGCCCGAGCGUUAAUCGGAAUCACUGGGCUUAAAGAGUGCGUAGGCGGACGUAAAGGUAUUUUGUGAAAUCCCUCGGCUCAACCGGGGAAUUGCUUGGUAAACCAUACGUCUUGAGGCAGGUAGGGGUGGUCGGAACGCUAGGUGGAGCGGUGGAAUGCGUAGAUAUCUAGCGGAACGCCAAUGGAGAAGUCAGGCCACUGGGCCUGUCCUGACGCUGAGGCACGAAAGCGUGGGUAGCAAACGGGAUUAGAUA